GUGAACCUCCAGAGGUUCAGAAAACUCUUGAAUAUGUAACAAAUAUUUGAAUAUGUGGCCCAUGAUAUCAUUCUGUUGCAGCAAUACAGGUAUUUAUCUAGUCAUACAUCCCUCAUCAUGCUGGCCAACUGCAGCAUCCUGGAAUCUCCUAAGAAAUCUGAGCCACGACCAGGUCUUCUUACAGAUCCUGAGAACAUUCUUCUUCCUGAGGAACUUUCUUUCCAUUUGACAUGACCAUCUCUAUCAAACAGAGUGCAGAAAUCAUUUCUCCUUAAUGCUCCUUCUGAUCCUGUGUGCCUAAGGCUUGAUCUGAACUGAAGCAAUCAGCAGGAUGUCAGUGCUGCCCCUCUCCUGCACUCCCAUCACCCCUUAGACUGUUUUCUCUAUGCCAUGUCUUCACUUUGUUUGAAAUAUCAGUCCAGCAGUUCUGAUGCUUGUGGCAGAGCUCCCUGAGCCAGGGAUUGCAGCUGGUUGCACUUGACAUUCUGCCCUGCACUGGGCUCUUUGGCUGUUCCCUGUGGCAAAGACCUUUUUUCUAGGAAUCCUUCCUAGAAUUUCUAGGACACAAAUAUCAGAGCAUAUUGCAUAAUUACCCCUAAAUUAUUUUUUAAAUCCUGAAUACCCAGGAAAACACUUAUGUCUUUAGGAUGUUAGUUGAGAUAAGGUGGAAAGCUUCUCCUUGGUUCCAUAGCUAAAAGAUGCAAAGCCUUUACCAAGGCCUGAACACCAAGAUCGUUUUCUUGGUCAUUUCAGCAGAAUCAAUUUAUUUCAUUCUUGUCAAGGCCUAUUCCGUAAUUAUUUGGAUGAAUAUUUGUAAAGUUUGGUUCCAAUGGAUAGGUCAAUUUGAUUCAUAAGAUAGUAUUUUUAAUGCUGCUGAUUGAGUGGUUUGGCACUAUUAAAAUCUGGUGGCUUUUUAACUUAGAUAGUUGCUAUUCUGUAAUAAUAAUAGACAAUACAGGAAAAAAAAAACAACAACAUAAUUUUGUUCCUAACUUUCUUGCUGGAAUCUGGAAAAUUGCAGACUCUAAUUCAGAACAGCUGGCUCCAAAUAUGUCAAGUUUUGGUUGAUUGCAUACCAUUAAAUAAUAUUGGAAGAAAUGGCUUAUCUCAAAGAAACUAACCAAUCUGAUGCCUUAUUUGGUAAACAGUCUUAUGUCUCUGAAGGCUAGAAUUAGAUUCAGCCUUAAAAUAAAUAUUUAAGAUCCCAACAACAUUUUUAAUGAUUUUAGUUUUAGAACAUGCUCAGAGCUCUCAUGCUGAUUCUUUUGUUUAAAGAGCACUAGCUCUAGUUUCAUGCAUAAGUGCUGUGGCAUGCCUCUUCUGGUUUUUGCUAAACAAGGAAAAUAAAGAAUUGAUAGACAAUACAUUAAUAUCCAAAAAUAACUUUUUCUUGUCAUUAGAUGGGUUUUUGCAUUGACCUUUAUUAGGCAAUAUUUUUUUUAUGUUUAAAAAGCUCAAUACAUUUUAACUGAUAAAAAUCUGAUCAAGUUCAGCCUAUUGGUUUUCCUGAAUCUGUGCCAGAUGUAUGAGCUGAAUCAUUCUGGUUUGAGUUAUUCACAAAUAAAUAACUGGCAGCAGCAUUUAGAUUUAGUUGGAUGACUAAAAGAGUGAAAGUGCUUUAGAAAGACACCAAUACAUUGUUUUUCAAAGCUCUGUUUAAGGCUUGUGAAUUAUGUCACUAAACUGAGAAAAGUAUGUGUGAUACGAGGAAAGGUAGAAAAAAAAAAAGAAACUUCAAACUUUUUGGUCCUAAGCUUAGAAUAGGAAAG
This is a long non-coding RNA of Parus major (Great Tit), 1769 nucleotides long. RefSeq lists it as uncharacterized. The record is from RefSeq and is a predicted model, not a curated record. NCBI's taxonomy places the organism in Eukaryota, Metazoa, Chordata, Aves, Passeriformes, Paridae. The transcript is spliced from 2 exons.